AUCUAAUAAAAAAUUUUAGUUAUAUCUUAUGUAAUUGAUCCAAAAAAAAUUUAGUUAUGCAUGUAUGUAUUUCAAACCUGGCUCUGAUACCAAUUGAAGGGAAGGGAAACUAUUUCUCUUCAGAUGACUCAGGUUGCAUCUAAAAUUUUUUUUAUUAUUCUAUAUAAAUAAGGAUCAACUUCUUACCUGAUUAGUAGUAAAACCAAAGAUCAAAUCUCAAAUGAUUUGAAUUAAACCUUCACGGAGGUCAGGAUGUGCAGACCCUCUACUUCGCAUGCAUGCCAGACAC
Molecule: long non-coding RNA, 289 nt
Filed under: Elaeis guineensis (African oil palm)
Lineage: Eukaryota; Viridiplantae; Streptophyta; Magnoliopsida; Arecales; Arecaceae
Description: long non-coding RNA (EGUI_LNC061817)
Source: RNAcentral